GUCACUGCCUUUGCCACUGUCACUGCGAAGGUCUGGGCAGCGCUGUGUGAGAGAGGACAAGGCCACAGAAUGACAUACCUCAACAGAUAAAAGAAGGGGACUUACAUACACACCGUUGUUUUACUUGGAAGGAAUGGAGGAUUCUCCUUUUUUUAGGUGAAAUAUGGGGAUGUCCUUAUCUCGCCAGUGGCUUUCCUAAGGAAAAAAAGGAGCAAAUGAUACCAAGACAAGCUCAUAACAGAGAUCUAAACACCAGAUGUGUACGGACAAGAAUACAGGUACAAAUGAAUUUCUCAUCCUCUUUUGGAUCUGUAUCUAAAUUACUGUAUAAUGAUCACUACUAUU
Ailuropoda melanoleuca (giant panda) is the source of this 345-nucleotide long non-coding RNA. Lineage: Eukaryota; Metazoa; Chordata; Mammalia; Carnivora; Ursidae. The record is from Ensembl.